Small nucleolar RNA from Tupaia belangeri (northern tree shrew), 72 nucleotides. The record is from Ensembl. NCBI's taxonomy places the organism in Eukaryota, Metazoa, Chordata, Mammalia, Scandentia, Tupaiidae.
UACCUAUGAUGAUCCUAUCCCGAACCUGAAUUUCUGUUGAAAAAAAUAAAAUACGGAUCUGGCUUCUGAGAU